Molecule: long non-coding RNA, 240 nt
Organism: Pipistrellus kuhlii (Kuhl's pipistrelle)
Lineage: Eukaryota; Metazoa; Chordata; Mammalia; Chiroptera; Vespertilionidae
Exons: 2
Source: RefSeq, a predicted model, not a curated record
CGAGGCAGUCCUCUGCUGUGCAGCCUGAGCUGCAAACCUGGCUACGUGGUUGAUGAUGGGUGCAAAAUUGGUGGGGCCGUAGAGGCGAACUUGGGGCAGGGCUAGACGAUAGGCUUCCACAAUACCCUGGAUACCUAGACAGUAGGGGUUGCUGGGGUUGAAGUUCAAGGCAAAUUCAUGGGAGACCUGAGGGCAAGAAUUAAAAUGAGCUCUUCCCCCUAAGAUUACUUUUUUAUUCAG